This 253-nucleotide ribosomal RNA is filed under the name uncultured bacterium. Its description in RNAcentral is "partial 16S ribosomal RNA". It matches the Rfam family "Bacterial small subunit ribosomal RNA", at positions 524 to 776 of the family's 1533-position model. The record is from RNAcentral.
GACAGAGGCCUCGAGCGUUAGGCGGAAUCACUGGGCUUAAAGCGUGUGUAGGCGGAUCGUUAAGUGCCUUGUGAAAUCCCACGGCUCAACCGUGGAACUGCUUGGCAUACUGGCGGUCUUGAGCCAUCUAGGGGUCGCUGGAACAAACGGUGGAGCGGUGAAAUGCGUAGAUAUCGUUUGGAACGCCAAUGGUGAAAACAGGCGACUGGGGAUGUGCUGACGCUGAGACACGAAAGCCAGGGGAGCAAACGGG